GAUUAACGCUGGCGGCGUGCAUAACACAUGCAAGUCGAACGAUGAAACUUAACUGAUUUCUUCGGAAUGAUUUUAAGUGGAUUAGUGGCGGACGGGUGAGUAACGCGUGAGUAACCUGCCUUGGAGAAGGGGAUAGCCUUUGGAAACGAAGAAUAAUACCCUAUGAUAUGAUAAUAUCACAUGAUAUUAUCAUCAAAGAUUUAUCGCUCUAAGAUGGACUUGCGUCUGAUUAGUUAGUUGGUGAGGUAACAGCUCACCAAGGCAGCGAUCAGUAGCCGGCUUGAGAGAGUGUACGGCCACAUUGGGACUGAGACACGGCCCAGACUCCUACGGGAGGCAGCAGUGGGGAAUUUUGCACAAUGGGGGAAACCCUGAUGCAGCGACGCCGCGUGAUUUAGAAGGCCUUCGGGUUGUAAAAAUCUUUUGUAUGGGAAGAAAAUGACAGUACCAUACGAAUAAGGACCGGCUAAUUACGUG
Molecule: ribosomal RNA, 477 nt
Filed under: uncultured bacterium
Lineage: Bacteria
Description: partial 16S ribosomal RNA
Rfam family: Bacterial small subunit ribosomal RNA
Source: RNAcentral